RNAcentral lists this long non-coding RNA (783 nucleotides) under Trifolium pratense (red clover). Its description in RNAcentral is "long non-coding RNA (TPRA_LNC012350)". The record is from RNAcentral. Lineage: Eukaryota; Viridiplantae; Streptophyta; Magnoliopsida; Fabales; Fabaceae.
UUACAACCAUAAUAAAAUUUAAUUAAUUAAUUGAAUCAUAUGGUAGGCAAUUAAUUUAUGUUGAUUUAGAUGUUGUCAAUUUUCUUGUUAAUUAAACAAAUCCAAUAGUAAAAUGCCGCCCAAACAUCGAACUCUAUAUAAACGCGUCAAACUGCGUUUUUUCUCUUCUUUCUUUUUCAACAAAUAACAACAUUCAAUUCUUCUUCAUCCUUAUCUUCAAUUUCAUGCUUCUCAUGUUUAACCUCUCAUUUCUUAAUUGAGUUGCUGCUCAAUCAAAGGUAUGAUAUGAGAGUUUUCAUCUUUGUUGCGUUGUUUGUGAUUUUUCUUUAAUUCUAUUGUAUUGUAUCAGAUCAUUUGGUUUUGGUAUUUGUAUUCCAAGUUUGAAUAUUUUGUUUUGUUUUGCUUUGAAUUUUUAUUUUUUGUUCAAUUGGUAUUAGUAUUAUUAUGACUUUGUUUUAAAAAUUAGGUUGAUUUUUUUGGGUUUCAAUUAUGGUUCAUGUUGUUGUUUUUGCUAGAGUUGAAUUGAAAGAUGCAACAAUACUUGAUGUAUCUUAUUACACAAUCACGUUAUGGGGGUAUGGAUUAGUUUGUGCAUGUUGUCCUUUUUAUAACAUAGAGAUUCGGAUUCGAGUUAGUUGAUGAUGAUCCAGGUAAUAAUAAAGCUGGAGAAGUUUGUUUUGAUUUUCCUUGGACAGUUGAUGCAAAUCUUAGUAGGAAGACUAUGACCUGUUUGGAUUAAGUUAUCGGCUAUUUUUUUUUUUUUUACCAAAAAGCCUUUUUUUC